UUCACCAAACCUGUGAUCGGUUCCGUCAAGGCCCAAGGCCGGGCGGAAGCAAUAGGGAACACGGUGAGGUGUAGCCAUUAGGCGCCAAAUCCGUGACUGCCCCCGCAACUGUGAGCGGCGAGCGACGCUGAAACGCCACUGGGACAUGCCAAAUCGGCGCCCGGGAAGGCCAGCCAAGCCAAGACCCGUAAGUCAGGAGACCUGCCGGACACAAGUCGAUGGG
Molecule: non-coding RNA, 223 nt
Filed under: Thalassovita mediterranea
Lineage: Bacteria; Pseudomonadati; Pseudomonadota; Alphaproteobacteria; Rhodobacterales; Roseobacteraceae
Source: RNAcentral